RNAcentral lists this ribosomal RNA (513 nucleotides) under uncultured bacterium. RNAcentral's name for it is "partial 16S ribosomal RNA". It matches the Rfam family "Bacterial small subunit ribosomal RNA", at positions 28 to 523 of the family's 1533-position model. The record is from RNAcentral.
AUUGAACGCUGGCGGCAGGCUUAACACAUGCAAGUCGAGCGGGGGAAGGUAGCUUGCUACCGGACCUAGCGGCGGACGGGUGAGUAAUGCUUAGGAAUCUGCCUAUUAGUGGGGGACAACAUCUCGAAAGGGAUGCUAAUACCGGAUACGUCCUCUUUCGCGCCUGCGAGAGGGGAGAAAGACGGUCUUUAAGGCCGUCGCUCAAAGAGGGGCCCGCGGCGCAUUAGCUGGUUGGUGGGGCAAGGGCCUACCAAGGCGACGAUGCGUUGCCGACCUGAGAGGGUGAUCGGCCACACUGGGACUGAGACACGGCCCAGACUCCUGCGGGAGGCAGCAGUAGGGAAUCAUCCGCAAUGGGCGAAAGCCUGACGGUGCAACGCCGCGUGAGUGAGGAAGGUUUUCGGAUCGUAAAGCUCUGUUGUGAGGGAAGAACAGCUUCCGGAGGAAAUGCCGGAGGUUUGCCGGUACCUCACCAGAAAGCCCCGGCUAACUACGUGCCAGCAGCCGCCGUAA